RNAcentral lists this ribosomal RNA (460 nucleotides) under uncultured bacterium. RNAcentral describes it as "partial 16S ribosomal RNA". It matches the Rfam family "Bacterial small subunit ribosomal RNA", at positions 338 to 795 of the family's 1533-position model. The record is from RNAcentral.
CCUACGGGUGGCAGCAGUGAGGAAUAUUGGUCAAUGGGCGGGAGCCUGAACCAGCCAAGUCGCGUGAGGGAAGACGGUCCUAUGGAUUGUCAACCUCUUUAGGCGGGGAGCAAUGCCGGGCACGUGUGCCAGGAGGGAGAGUAUUCGCAGAAUAAGCAUGGGCGAACUCCGUGCCAGCAGCCGCGGGAAGACGGAGGUUGCGAGCGUUAUCCGGAUUUAUGGGGUUUAAAGGGUGCGUAGGCGGAUUUUUAAGUCAGCGGUAAAAUGUCCGGGCUCAACCCGGGCCGGCCGUUGAAACUGGGUAUCUUGAGUGGGCGAGAAGUAUGCGGAAUGCGUGGUGUAGCGGUGAAAUGCAUAGAUAUCACGCAGAACUCCGAUUGCGAAGGCAGCAUACCGGCGCCCGACUGACGCUGAGGCACGAAAGCGUGGGGAUCGAACAGGAUUAGAUACCCUGGUAGUC